Liolophura sinensis is the source of this 206-nucleotide long non-coding RNA. RefSeq lists it as uncharacterized. Lineage: Eukaryota; Metazoa; Mollusca; Polyplacophora; Chitonida; Chitonidae. The transcript has 3 exons. The record is from RefSeq and is a predicted model, not a curated record.
UGUUAAACCCCAGGCUCGUGGCAGUAACUCUUUCGUCGAUAAAGGGGGCCAUUCAUCUCUUUCUGACUGUCUUACCUGUCGCUCCAAUUCCUUGGGAUCUUAACUGUCUUCGACAGACUAGGCAUCAACGCCUGUCCUUAAGGGUAGAAGAAAAAUCGGAGAAGAAGUGGUGUAAAUUCCAGUAGAAAGAUUGAAUUUCUCGCCAU